GACGAACCGUGCGAACGUUGUUCGGAUUCACUGGGCUUAAAGGGCGCGUAGGCGGCGGAGCAAGUCCGGGGUGAAAUCUUUCGGCUCAACCGGAAAAUUGCCUUGGAUACUGCUUCGCUCGAGGGAGGUAGGGGCAGCUGGAACAUCCAGUGGAGCGGUGAAAUGCGUUGAUAUUGGAUGGAACGCCGGUGGCGAAAGCGAGCUGCUGGAUCUCUUCUGACGCUGAGGCGCGAAAGCCAGGGGAGCGAACGGG
Molecule: ribosomal RNA, 253 nt
Filed under: uncultured bacterium
Lineage: Bacteria
Description: partial 16S ribosomal RNA
Rfam family: Bacterial small subunit ribosomal RNA
Source: RNAcentral